Xiphophorus couchianus (Monterrey platyfish) is the source of this 379-nucleotide long non-coding RNA. RefSeq lists it as uncharacterized. Lineage: Eukaryota; Metazoa; Chordata; Actinopteri; Cyprinodontiformes; Poeciliidae. The transcript is spliced from 2 exons. The record is from RefSeq and is a predicted model, not a curated record.
UCUGCUCCUCCCUCUACAGUGAACCCGAGCUGUACACUCUCUGAACCGGCCCCACCUGAAGAAUCGGAUCCUAGCUGCUCUGUUUUGCCUUGCACCUGGGUGCGUCACGCCCGCCACUCAGCUGCUGCCUGUCCGCCCUCAAUCGCCUGCUGGAACUUCCCCCAUCUGGAAAACCCUGCCGGAUCCCCAUGUUCCCUCCUCUGCUUACCUGAACCCGCAGCCCUUCCUCCGCUGGCCCAGUUCCUCCCUGCUGCCGCUGAUCGACGCCCCUCCACACACUCUCCAGCACAUUCAGUUACCAAAUAAAUCUGUUAAAACUGUUUGGGUGUCCGUAGUUGUUGCUUGCCUUAAGAGUCCUAGAAACCUCGCAUUAUGACAG